This 443-nucleotide ribosomal RNA is filed under the name uncultured Fusobacterium sp. RNAcentral describes it as "bacterial SSU rRNA". It matches the Rfam family "Bacterial small subunit ribosomal RNA", at positions 338 to 795 of the family's 1533-position model. Lineage: Bacteria; Fusobacteriati; Fusobacteriota; Fusobacteriia; Fusobacteriales; Fusobacteriaceae. The record is from RNAcentral.
CCUACGGGAGGCAGCAGUGGGGAAUAUUGGACAAUGGACCAAGAGUCUGAUCCAGCAAUUCUGUGUGCACGAUGAAGUUUUUCGGAAUGUAAAGUGCUUUCAGUUGGGAAGAAAAAAAUGACGGUACCAACAGAAGAAGUGACGGCUAAAUACGUGCCAGCAGCCGCGGUAAUACGUAUGUCACGAGCGUUAUCCGGAUUUAUUGGGCGUAAAGCGCGUCUAGGUGGUUAUAUAAGUCUGAUGUGAAAAUGCAGGGCUCAACUCUGUAUUGCGUUGGAAACUGUAUAACUAGAGUACUGGAGAGGUAAGCGGAACUACAAGUGUAGAGGUGAAAUUCGUAGAUAUUUGUAGGAAUGCCGAUGGGGAAGCCAGCUUACUGGACAGAUACUGACGCUGAAGCGCGAAAGCGUGGGUAGCAAACAGGAUUAGAUACCCGAGUAGUC